Molecule: ribosomal RNA, 497 nt
Filed under: uncultured bacterium
Lineage: Bacteria
Description: partial 16S ribosomal RNA
Rfam family: Bacterial small subunit ribosomal RNA
Source: RNAcentral
GAUGAACGCUGGCGGCGUGCCUAAUACAUGCAAGUCGAGCGAACAGACGAUGAUCUUGCUCCGCUGACGUUAGCGGCGGACGGGUGAGUAACACGUGGAUAACCUACCUAUAAGACUGGGAUAACUUCGGGAAACCGGAGCUAAUACCGGAUAAUAUAUUGAACCGCAUGGGUCAAUAGUGAAAGACGGCUUUGCUGUCACUAAUAGAUGGAUCCGCGCCGCAUUAGCUGGUUGGUAAGGUAACGGCUUACCAAGGCGACGAUGCGUAGGCGACCUGAGAGGCUGAUCGGCCACACUGGAACGUAGCCACGGUCCAGACUACUACGAGAGGGACCAGUAUGCAAUCUUACGCAAUAGGCGAGAGCAUGACGGAACGGCGCCAAGUGUGAGACGACAACCUUGUGAUCGGAAGGAUCUGCUUUUGGGGGAGAACAACUGUGGCAGUAACCAUGCACGUCUUGACGGUACUUAGUCAAAAAGCCACGGCUAACUACGUG